This 486-nucleotide ribosomal RNA is filed under the name uncultured bacterium. RNAcentral describes it as "partial 16S ribosomal RNA". It matches the Rfam family "Bacterial small subunit ribosomal RNA", at positions 30 to 507 of the family's 1533-position model. The record is from RNAcentral.
AUUGAACGCUGGCGGCAUGCCUUACACAUGCAAGUCGAACGGCAGCACGGGUGCUUGCCCCUGGUGGCGAGUGGCGAACGGGUGAGUAAUACAUCGGAACAUGUCCUGUAGUGGGGGAUAGCCCGGCGAAAGCCGGAUUAAUACCGCAUACGAUCUACGGAUGAAAGCGGGGGACCUUCGGGCCUCGCGCUAUGGGGUUGGCCGAUGGCUGAUUAGCUAGUUGGUGGGGUAAAGGCCUACCAAGGCGACGAUCAGUAGCUGGUCUGAGAGGACGACCAGCCACACUGGGACUGAGACACGGCCCAGACUCCUACGGGAGGCAGCAGUGGGGAAUUUUGGACAAUGGGCGAAAGCCUGAUCCAGCAAUGCCGCGUGUGUGAAGAAGGCCUUCGGGUUGUAAAGCACUUUUGUCCGGAAAGAAAUCCUUGGCUCUAAUACAGUCGGGGGAUGACGGUACCGGAAGAAUAAGCACCGGCUAACUACGUG